AUCGAACGCUGGCGGCAUGCUUUACACAUGCAAGUCGAACGGCAGCGCGGGCUUCGGCCUGGCGGCGAGUGGCGAACGGGUGAGUAAUAUAUCGGAACGUACCCAAGAGUGGGGGAUAACGUAGCGAAAGUUACGCUAAUACCGCAUACGAUCUAAGGAUGAAAGCAGGGGAUCGCAAGACCUUGUGCUCCUGGAGCGGC
Molecule: ribosomal RNA, 200 nt
Filed under: uncultured bacterium
Lineage: Bacteria
Description: partial 16S ribosomal RNA
Rfam family: Bacterial small subunit ribosomal RNA
Source: RNAcentral